GGGGCUGAACGGUUUCGACUUCGCGCAUCGAAUCAAGGGAAGCGUGCCGGUGCAGGCAAAUGACCACCGUAAGCGUCGUUGCAACCAAUUAAGCGCCGAUUCCAAUCAGCGCGACUACGCCCUCGCUGCCUAAGUAGCGACUGCGUGUCUGUCAGACCGGGAGCGCCCUCGGCCCGGACCCUGGCAUCAGCUAGAGGGACCCACCCACGGGUUCGGUCGCGGAACCCGUGGGGACAUCAAACAGCGACUGGGAUCGUCAUCUCGGCUUGUCCACGUGACCGGGAGAUCCAAGUAGAGACAUAGCGGACUGCGCACGGAGAAGCCUUGAGGGAAUGCCGUAGGACCCGGGUUCGAUUCCCGGCAGCUCCACAA
RNAcentral lists this transfer-messenger RNA (372 nucleotides) under Mycobacteriaceae. Its description in RNAcentral is "Mycobacterium cosmeticum_A Standard tmRNA". It matches the Rfam family "transfer-messenger RNA". From Rfam's summary of the family: Bacterial tmRNA, also known as 10Sa RNA or SsrA, is named for its dual tRNA and mRNA-like properties. Its role is to liberate the mRNA from a stalled ribosome. Lineage: Bacteria; Bacillati; Actinomycetota; Actinomycetes; Mycobacteriales. The record is from RNAcentral. RNAcentral also lists the same sequence under 1 other name.